UGUUAAAAAUUUAAUCUACUUUUACUGUUAAAAACUGGCUCGGCUAAUGGAAUUACUAGACAUUACAUGUGGUGUGCUAUAUAUACCUCAUGCUGACGUACAUGAACCAUUUUUUAACAGCAAAAAUGAACGAAACUUUUAACA
This is a non-coding RNA of Gossypium hirsutum (cotton), 144 nucleotides long. NCBI's taxonomy places the organism in Eukaryota, Viridiplantae, Streptophyta, Magnoliopsida, Malvales, Malvaceae. The record is from Rfam.